UCCCAGCUUUCUCUGCUCCCCACAUUGUCUGAGUCUGGCAGUGUGACCCACGGAUGGUGGCCUCUGCCUCGGGGUGCUGCAGGUCUCACUGAGGGCUGAGCCCCUGCAAAGGUGGCCCUGGGCUGGAUUUCACAGGACCUGAAGGAAGUCUGCAGGCUGAGAGUGUCAGGUCGUGUGUGUAAGGAAGGCCUGCAAUAGAGGAGCAGAGGCCAGAAAACGCACAGGCUGGUUUUAGAAAACAAACAGGGAUCUCGCACAAGAGAAGGCACACCGGUGGAUAGAAGGAAAUGAGCCUGUAUACAGAUGGUCAUGGGUCACAGAAUUUAUGAAGCCAGCAGGCUGCAGUGUCUACACAAAGUGAUUCUGAUGCUUUGCCCUGGACCUCGGUGGCUGUAAAUGACGCUGCUUGGUGACAGCUGGAGGAGGGCAUUCUGAUGCACAGCCUCAGAGCCACAUUUCCCAGAUUAGGCCAGCAAUGACCCAGCUGCACAGCCCGACUUCAGGAAAUUAAAUUGGAGGGCGUCCAAACCUCUGUUGAAAUAACCGUGAUUUGCUGCUACCAGAAUGAGCAGACCAACAUGACAGCCUCAUCAGAACAUCACCACAUGGAACGCCCCCCUGACCUCACCUAGCAGAGCCCACUCCCCUGGGCCUGUGGGACCUCAGGAGAGGAGGUGAGACCUGCUCCAUCUGUUCCUCCACCUCACUGCUCUUAACCCUCUUAGACAUCAACAUCCCAGGCUAAUAACUCCAUGCUUGGAAAAUGGAAUAGACAGUCAGGCAUGAGUUUAAAUAAACAAUGAUAAAGAGAGUCUUUAUAAAGAAUAAAAGAAUUGUGCUGCAAUAAACAUUGAUGUGGCCA
Non-coding RNA from Ictidomys tridecemlineatus (thirteen-lined ground squirrel), 862 nucleotides. NCBI's taxonomy places the organism in Eukaryota, Metazoa, Chordata, Mammalia, Rodentia, Sciuridae. The record is from RefSeq and is a predicted model, not a curated record.